Molecule: ribosomal RNA, 727 nt
Filed under: uncultured archaeon
Lineage: Archaea
Description: bacterial SSU rRNA
Rfam family: Archaeal small subunit ribosomal RNA
Source: RNAcentral
UGCUAGUCGCACGGGUUUAGACCCGUGGCGAACAGCUCAGUAACACGUGGCCAAGCUACCCUCUGGACUGGAACACUCUCGGGAAACUGAGGCUAAUUCCAGAUAUGGCUUCCACCCUGGAAUGGGGGAAGCCGAAAACGCUCCGGCGCCAGAGGAUGCGGCUGCGGCCGAUUAGGUAGACGGUGGGGUAACGGCCCACCGUGCCGAUAAUCGGUACGGGUCAUGAGAGUGAGAGCCCGGAGACGGUAUCUGAGACAAGAUACCGGGCCCUACGGGGCGCAGCAGGCGCGAAACCUUUACACUGCGCGACAGCGCGAUAGGGGGACUCCAAGUGCGAGGGCAUAUCGUCCUCGCUUUUCUGUACCGUAAGGUGGUACAGGAAUAAGGGCUGGGCAAGACCGGUGCCAGCCGCCGCGGUAACACCGGCAGCUCGAGUGAUGGCCGCUCUUAUUGGGCCUAAAGCGUCCGUAGCCGGCCGGAUAAGUCCGUCGGGAAAUCCAUCCGCUUAACGGAUGGGCGUCCGGCGGAAACUGUCCGGCUUGGGACCGGAAGACCCGGGGGGUACGUCUUGGGUAGGAGUGAAAUCCUGUAAUCCUGGACGGACCGCCGGUGGCGAAAGCGCCUCGGGAGGACGGAUCCGACGGUGAGGGACGAAAGCUAGGGUCACGAACCGGAUUAGAUACCCGGGUAGUCCUAGCCGUAAACGAUGCUCGCUAGGUGUGGCGCA